GCACUCUACAAGGAAAAGGAGUAUCUCUGGGAGGAAAUGAACUUUUUAACUUGCAAGAAUGGGAAAUGGCUCAUAAAGAGUUGCUUAUUGGGUUUAUGUUGAUUGCAUUUAAAUCCCAGCUUACUGUAUCAGCAGUAAUCAGGGUCCCUCUACAGGAUAUGUCAAAAUACACCUUAUUCAAAUGCAUUUAUCCUAUCUAGAAAGGCAUGAUAAAACUGUUCGCUAGCUAAAUCCUACAAAACCCUGGCUCCGAGCACUGGCUUUUGCAGAUGUACCUCUAAACUUCUAGUAGUUUAUAGCCUACCAAAUUGUUUUCUUUCCUUCAUUACCAAUGCUUUAAAAAAUCUAAUUAACUCAAUAAAGUAUUUAGUCCUCAUGAACUUUUGCAAGCAAAACAGGUUUUAGAAAAAGAAAGCAACUACAAUAUAUAUUUUUUUUAAUGAGUGGAACAUUACCAAUUUCUUAACUGCCAUCUACUUAAAAUCCAAGUGCAUUUUCCAGUAGUAGUUUCGUGCUGUGUGGAUGACACUAUCAUGCUAACUCUUGCUUUGUGUGGGUUUGGUGUAGGCUUUUGAAAAGCAAGACGUGUCUAGGAGGGAGGCACCAGGGAACUUCCCUCCCUCGCUUGAGCACAGUCCAAGAUGAAAGUUUCUGGGUUGUUUCCCUUCGCUUCCUCUCACCCUCGCUCCCCCUCGGAGCCGCAGAGCCAGCAAUUGUGCAAGAAGAGCCGGGUGUGCAGGGCGCGUAUCACCAAGCGCAUGGUACGAGCCGCCGACUCUGGUGAUUAAUUAUCAGUUGCCGCCGGCCUCACACUAACACGUCGGCUUUCCGGGCAGAGCCAGCACACCCAGCCGCCGGCAGCGCGGCCCGGACCGAGCAGCGGCUCUGGGGAGGACGCCGCGGCUGCGCCCGAGUUUACACCUUCUCCAGAUGGCUCCUGGCAACCUUGGCUGGGCAUUUCAACAUAUAGGAAACUCAGCCAGAAUAGCCUGAAGAUUUCAGAGGACAAGAUCAUGGUCCAAACUGCAAUCCAGUGUACUCCCAGGCGUAAGUUAUCAACUGAACUUUGAUGGCCACCAAAAUCCCUACCUUCAGCUUAGACUGCUCUUCUACACUGCAAACGUACUCAACUGUCUACCUGUCAUUUCCAAGAGAAUGCCUAACAGGAACUUCAAAAGGAACUUCCACAAGUGCUGCCCUAGGACUCCUCAAAUUUGCUCCUUCUCCAGAAUUGAGCUUAUUAAAUAGCACCAUUGACCACUGAAUCCUUGGAAAAUAAUUUUUUUCCAUUUACAAAGUCCAAAGGGAUGGACUAUUUUAUCUUUUCCCAUUUUGUUAAGAGCAUUUUCUUGGAGCUAUAGUGAAUCUCAGUCUUUACAUUAACCAUCAGAACAGAGGUAAAUCUCUAGGGAUUAAGUCCACUCUCCAGUUUUCAUUGCAGAGAUAUCUCCAAGGUCACAUGCCAGAUCACCUCAAUAUGUAAAAACAAACCACUAGAAUUAGCUCAAGUGUUUCUCAUGAGAUGUACAGAACACUCUCACAAGGAGAAGCUCCUUUUCUCUCGAGAAGAUGAGACAGUGAUGUACUUUGUUCUGCUUUGAUGUAUACAAACUGUGAGAUUUUGUCCCAACUUUAUAGUCACUUUGUGUUAUCCUACAUGCAUGUAAAUCUGUUAAUGUCUACUCAAUAAUAAAUUGUGUUCUUUCUCUCUCUUGUAAGUCAA
Molecule: long non-coding RNA, 1723 nt
Organism: Leopardus geoffroyi (Geoffroy's cat)
Lineage: Eukaryota; Metazoa; Chordata; Mammalia; Carnivora; Felidae
Exons: 3
Source: RefSeq, a predicted model, not a curated record